Molecule: transfer RNA, 76 nt
Filed under: Escherichia coli
Lineage: Bacteria; Pseudomonadati; Pseudomonadota; Gammaproteobacteria; Enterobacterales; Enterobacteriaceae
Description: tRNA-OTHER
Rfam family: tRNA
About the family: Transfer RNA (tRNA) molecules are approximately 80 nucleotides in length. Their secondary structure includes four short double-helical elements and three loops (D, anti-codon, and T loops).
Source: RNAcentral
UCGCCACUGGCUCAUCAGGAAAGAGCAUCAACUUCUAAGUUGAGUGUACGAGGUUCGAGUCCUCGGUAGUGGUCCA